ACAAGCGGUGGAGCAUGUGGUUUAAUUCGAAGCAACGCGAAGAACCUUACCAGGCCUUGACAUGCAGAGAACUUUCCAGAGAUGGAUUGGUGCCUUCGGGAACUCUGACACAGGUGCUGCAUGGCUGUCGUCAGCUCGUGUCGUGAGACGUUGGGUUAAGUCCCGUAACGAGCGCAACCCUUGUCCUUAGUUACCAGCACGUUAUGGUGGGCACUCUAAGGAGACUGCCGGUGACAAACCGGAGGAAGGUGGGGGUGACGUCAAGUCAUCAUGGCCCUUACGGCCUGGGCUACACACGUGCUACAAUGGUCGGUACAAAGGGUUGCCAAGCCGCGAGGUGGAGCUAAUCCCAUAAAACCGAUCGUAGUCCGGAUCGCAGUCUGCAACUCGACUGCGUGAAGUCGGAAUCGCUAGUAAUCGUGAAUCAGAAUGUCACGGUGAAUACGUUCCCGGGCCUU
RNAcentral lists this ribosomal RNA (458 nucleotides) under uncultured Pseudomonas sp. Its description in RNAcentral is "bacterial SSU rRNA". It matches the Rfam family "Bacterial small subunit ribosomal RNA", at positions 925 to 1382 of the family's 1533-position model. The record is from RNAcentral. Lineage: Bacteria; Pseudomonadati; Pseudomonadota; Gammaproteobacteria; Pseudomonadales; Pseudomonadaceae.